This 329-nucleotide long non-coding RNA is filed under the name Apteryx owenii (little spotted kiwi). RNAcentral's name for it is "lncRNA (ENSAOWG00000014759.1)". Lineage: Eukaryota; Metazoa; Chordata; Aves; Apterygiformes; Apterygidae. The record is from RNAcentral.
GCAAAGCAUGCCCAAGUGUGCUGGUUAGUCACAAGGCAGUUUAGAAUCAAUGGACCGAAAAGAAGUAAGGGUAGUCUUCUGAAGGAGGACAACUUGAAGAGCAGUAGCUAGACCUAGUGAUACAGUCAUUCAUUUCAGUCAUCUUCAUCUUCUUUGAGGCAAGCAUCCAAGUACAGAAGGAAUCUAGGAAGUGUAUCAAAAAAGGUCCUGCGGAGGUUUCACAAUAUGUCUGCAAUAACACACGGUCAUGCCAGAGAAGUGUUAGAAUGGUUGUUUGCAGAGAAUAAAGAAAAUGUGUUAUCUUAUGUGGAGCAGAGUGAGGAUUGGCU